RNAcentral lists this ribosomal RNA (465 nucleotides) under Vreelandella stevensii. RNAcentral describes it as "partial 16S ribosomal RNA". It matches the Rfam family "Bacterial small subunit ribosomal RNA", at positions 338 to 795 of the family's 1533-position model. Lineage: Bacteria; Pseudomonadati; Pseudomonadota; Gammaproteobacteria; Oceanospirillales; Halomonadaceae. The record is from RNAcentral.
CCUACGGGAGGCAGCAGUGGGGAAUAUUGGACAAUGGGGGGAACCCUGAUCCAGCCAUGCCGCGUGUGUGAAGAAGGCCCUCGGGUUGUAAAGCACUUUCAGUGAGGAAGAACGCCUGGUGGUUAAUACCCAUCAGGAAAGACAUCACUCACAGAAGAAGCACCGGCUAACUCCGUGCCAGCAGCCGCGGUAAUACGGAGGGUGCGAGCGUUAAUCGGAAUUACUGGGCGUAAAGCGCGCGUAGGUGGCUUGAUAAGCCGGUUGUGAAAGCCCCGGGCUCAACCUGGGAACGGCAUCCGGAACUGUCAAGCUAGAGUGCAGGAGAGGAAGGUAGAAUUCCCGGUGUAGAGGUGAAAUGCGUAGAGAUCGGGAGGAAUACCAGUGGCGAAGGCGGCCUUCUGGACUGACACUGACACUGAGGUGCGAAAGCGUGGGUAGCAAACAGGAUUAGAUACCCGGGUAGUC